GGGGCUGAUAUUAGCUUUCGACAAUUGGAAUUUAACAGAUUGGUUUGCGAGCAGAUGACAACUUUAUAGUCAAUUUUAGAUGCAAAAGAUACUUUUGUAGCUAAAGUCAAAAGCUUUUUCCAAGCUCCUUUGACUUUGGCAUCAGCUACAGCCCGAGUUUAAUCUCGGAUUAGCCGUCUUGCCGCAUAGACAACAUGCUGCGGUGGGGCGUCAUAUUUAUGUUGUGUAGCUCCGUGCAGCUUUUGCGACUGCAUGGCAGCGAAAACCUUUCGCAAAGUUUUGAUAGAUUGGCUUUGUUGGUUUCCAUGAAUCUCUCAAUUCGGAAUUUUGAAAUCAAACAGGCUUCGUAGACAACUAAUCCGUUACCAUUUGGACGCGGGGGCAGUACCCGCCAGCUCCACCA
Molecule: transfer-messenger RNA, 403 nt
Filed under: Candidatus Nomurabacteria bacterium
Lineage: Bacteria; Candidatus Nomuraibacteriota
Rfam family: transfer-messenger RNA
About the family: Bacterial tmRNA, also known as 10Sa RNA or SsrA, is named for its dual tRNA and mRNA-like properties. Its role is to liberate the mRNA from a stalled ribosome.
Source: RNAcentral